Long non-coding RNA from Oncorhynchus tshawytscha (Chinook salmon), 635 nucleotides. RefSeq lists it as uncharacterized. The transcript has 4 exons. NCBI's taxonomy places the organism in Eukaryota, Metazoa, Chordata, Actinopteri, Salmoniformes, Salmonidae. The record is from RefSeq and is a predicted model, not a curated record.
CAGGAAGUGACAGACAGUUCUUCUGUUGUGUCAGAUCCUGUUCAAUAUAAAUACUUGCAAUGUUGUUAAAGUAGACAUAUCACAUUGAUUGCGUUUGAACAACUUCUUCACGCACAUCCUUGAAAUGCUGACUUGCACCACGAAUGCUGUCUUCCCACAACGGCGACUGAUGAGGUUUUCUUAAAACAAACACCAUUAAUGAAGCAGUGCGCUGACAUCUGCAGGAAACCAACAACUAAAUGAAUGCGAGAAGCAACAUCCCAUCUCAGCCUUCCCACGCUACUGAAUCCUCCCACCACCAGUCAGUGUUGUCAAGGCGAUAUACAGUUGAUGUGCUGUAAAUUGAUUUCCGGGGAGAUGUGAUGGAUGAAUGGAAAAUGAACAUCUUCAUCAGUGACCUCUCCGCGCCGUCGUCUCAUUGCUUCUCCUCACGCCCGCCCAUGAUUGACAAGCGCGCUAACGAGCGCUGUCGCCGGUCCUGUUCUUAUUUCCCUGUGUGGGAAACACGGCGAGUCUCCGGCCCUACGGUAAUGAGCCCUACAAAGAGAAGGAGAGGACAGGAAGGAAGACUCGCCCUGAAGAGAUGGAAGACGGAAUGAAAGAAGUCCAAGUAAAUAAUAUAGAAAGGGCCAACA